RNAcentral lists this long non-coding RNA (1938 nucleotides) under Homo sapiens (human). RNAcentral's name for it is "non-protein coding lnc-LYPD6-2:16". Lineage: Eukaryota; Metazoa; Chordata; Mammalia; Primates; Hominidae. The record is from RNAcentral.
GAUUUGGGUGGAUGGAUAGGAGGGCUUCCGACCUGCGUUAGGCGGGUCAGUUAAUCUUCAGUAACUCCUUGAUGCGUUUGAUAGUCCUCCCAACUUAAGCCUUCCUUACUGCCUCCAGGAGAUACAGUCUUCUGUUCUUUUUGUCAUAGUUGUUUAUUUUUCAUGAAUCGCUGUUUUUGAGCAUAGGGCACUUACCUCUUUCUGUGUCCCCAGCCCUACCACAGUGCCAGGCUCUCAAUAUGCUCGAUAAAUAUUAGGCGAUUGAUUUGUAAAUCGUGUAUCAUUUUCAUGUAUCUAAUACUUUUUUAAAAAUUGAUUAAAGCCCAUAAGCCCAUAUUUUAUUCCAGAUGUCCUUAGUUUUCGACCUGGUAUUCUUUUCCAUUCCAGGAUCCUGUCCGGAGUACAUCACCAUGUCUUCCAGGCUCCUCUGGACCGUGACCGUUUCUCAAACUUUCCUUGUUUUUGAUAACCUUAAUAGUUUUGAAGCGACUUAUUGGUCAUUUGGUCAAAUGUCCUUCAAUUGGGUUUUGCCUGUAUUUUUCUCAUGCAUUAACUGAGGUUAUGGGUUUUUCUUGAGUUAAGAGGUAAGGUAAAGUGAUCUUCUCAUCACAUCACAUCAAGGGUAUAUACUAUCAACAUGACUUAUUACUGUUGAUGCUAACCUUUAUCACCAUUAUUACAGUGUCAUACAGAAAAGUUUUAUAGUUCUACAAAGAUCCCCUUUGUUUCAUCUAGUAAGCCCUUCCACCUCCCUAUGUAGGGUUUGUCAGGUUUCUCCACUGUGAAGUUACUGUUUUUCUUUUCCUCUCCAUACUAUACUAUUUGGAAGGACAUCUCUCUGUGCAGCCCAAACUAUAGGAAUGGGAAAUUGUUAUACUCCACCUUUAUGAGGACAGAAUAUCUUCAUGAAUUAUUUGGAAUUCUUCUGCAUGGGAGAUUUGUCUGUACUGCAUUUAUUUAUGUAUUCAAUCAUUUAUGUCAGUAUGGACUCAUGGAUAUUUAUUUUACAUUUUGGGUUAUAAUCCAAUACUACUUUAUUUUGUUGUUCAUAUUGGUUCCAGCUUUGGCUAUUGAGAUUUCCUUUAGUUGGCAUUUGUGUCUUUUUGACAAACCCUCCUCGUUUUAUGUUUAUUGAUUUUUUUUCUUGAGCAUUUUCUUAAUUUCUAUAAGUUGCUCCAGGCUCAUCUUGUAUAUUCCCUGCCCCAAUCCUAGAAUCAGCUGCUUCCCCAAAAAGCCAAGGGUACUUUUAAUGGAAAAUGAUAUUAGAAAUCAAGAUUUGGACAUUUGGGAUGUUGUUGCUUCUAGACACUCUCAGCUGACAGAGCAAGGAAAUAUUUGUGGAUAUGCUAACCUGACUAAAUACGCAUAUCUGCUCCAUACCUACCUAACAUCUAUCUUCUCAAGAACUCUGCCAGGGAAGGAGUAGUUUCUGUGUUUCAUAAACAGACUGAGACUCAAAGAGGCUAAGUAAACUACCUGAAGCCAUAUAUAGCAACACACAAUGACGGAUGUGAGAUUCAAACUUGGAUUUAUCUGGCUCCAAAAUUUCUAGUUUUUUUUUUUUUUUUUUUCCCACUACAGCAAAACUAAGGAGAAGAGACAGAGAAAACACUAGAUCUGAAUAACAAAGGAUGCAUACUUAAGCAAACUAAGGCAUAUAUAGUUAUCACUAAAUGCUCAACCUGGAAAGAAUACUGGAUUGCAGUCUGCUUUUUCUGUAAAGACAAUAGUAUUAUAAAACCGAAAGAGACAACAGGGAAUAUUUCCCACUCAACUAAGCAUAUCUAAAAGCACAUUUGAAGUUUGGAGACAAUAUUCUGUGUUAUUUUAAGAAAAGAUUCUAUAGCAUUAUUACCUGGUGGUAAGAAAAUAACAUGUAAAAGAAAAGGUAAUAAGAAUAAAAAAAAUAAGUAAAAGUAUGUGAACAUGCUAGACCUG